Molecule: small RNA, 351 nt
Filed under: Eubacteriales
Lineage: Bacteria; Bacillati; Bacillota; Clostridia
Also listed under: 1 other name
Description: SFLA01 sp004553575 Standard tmRNA
Rfam family: transfer-messenger RNA
About the family: Bacterial tmRNA, also known as 10Sa RNA or SsrA, is named for its dual tRNA and mRNA-like properties.
Source: RNAcentral
GGGGGCGUAAAGGUUUCGACGGGGAUUCUGAUGCCCGGCAAGCGAGCAGAAGCGUGUGACUUCUUUAAAACGCACAAACCUUAAAACAAACGCUAACAACGAAUUAGCAAUCGCUGCCUAACUUAAGGCGGCCGUCAUGCCGGUGAGUACUGCGGCUCCGGUUUUGGCGUGACACAGCAGUGAACAUGAACGCGGUCAAGCUUUGCCCCGCGUCAGGUAUUAAUGAAGCUACCAUCCUCUGCUGCGCGCCGGUUCGCGGCGGCGGACGGGAAUUAUAACAUCCGGCUACGCUCGUAGAAAACCGUUCUGAUGGGUUUUCGGACAGGGGUUCGAUUCCCCUCGCCUCCACCA